UCGAUGGGCGUCUCAGCCUUUCCUUGUGGACCGAGGAGGUGACAGCCGGAGCAGAGUGCACGGUCGACAGCGGCAGAUUACAUCGUUACUCGUUCUGUUUCGCGUUUAAUAUUUGUUUAAAGUUUCAUACUGAAUGUCAUGCCCUGCGUGAGUGGAUGUCUGACCCCUCCCCCACCCACCCCCGCCUUUUAAACAAGGUCGCCCUGCAGGGGUCACGUGUCAUUACACGAAGCCUCGCUCAGGACCUGUGCACCGCACCACCCGCAGCUCGUCGUCGCAAAACACAGGGAGGGCUCCGUCGAUCGAGCGCAUGCUCGGAGGCUCGCCGUCCGAUGACAGCUGCUGACGGCACCGUCCCCGAAAAGCAGCCCGCGGGCGCGUGAAGUGACGCCGCGGUUUGUUUUUAAAGGUCACCAAAAGAACCCAACCGCUUCUCGGGACCCGGCGUGGUCGCCACAGAAUUCUCCCCAGCCCCACCAAAGCGAUUACGGCUACACAAUUAAUACACACACUUCGAGUUUCGCCUAAUUAGUUUACCCGUGUUAACAUUUUUGACUACAUUUUUUUUCUAAUCCGGUGUUAUUUUCACCUGCUGUACAAGUGUUAUUGAAUUUUUAAAAAAUGUUCCCUAGGUCAUAAUAACAUUGUUAAAUAUUUAAGAAUUUUACAGUGUUGCCAUAAAUCUACGCACGGCACGCACUGCAUAUAAUAUUGUGUCGGUGUCGUGUAAGGCGUCUACGGGGAAUUCUCUCAAUUGGAGGGCGAGCUGGUGGUGAGAGAGAGAGGGUGGUGAGCAGGUGGUGAGUAAGCGGUGGGAGGGUGAGCGGGUGGUGAGGGAGUGGGUGGUGAGCAGGUGGUGAGCGAGCGGUGGGCGGGUGAGCGAGUGGAGGGUGAGCGAUCGAGCGGUGCUGUGGGUCUGCCAAGCCCGAACGCGCAAUGCCGCGUUGCCACCAGCGCCACUCGCUGUCACUGCCGGGCAGACUUAGUCCAGUGCAUCCACCAGGUGGACGAUGGACGGACACCACUAAUGCAACACGCUUUCAGCCUCGGUUGGAAAUCGUUAAAAUCAGCGGCAGAAGUCACAAACAAAAAAACACGCCGCUCGUCCAUUCCCCCACGGAGUUGCCUUACGAGGAUGUGCCGAGUUGGGGCUGCAAAGAAGGCCCAGGAAGCACUCUCGCCACAUUACAGCGACGGCAGCUUGAGCUUUCAAUUAGCUGGAAGGGCAGCAGGGCCAUCAACGUCGCGUCCAGAAUCGUGCGAAUGCAAGAGCCGAUGGCGCAAUGCCCCGCGCAAUUCUACGUGCGACGUCCCAUAUCCUUCGUCAAGCCCGGACGUCGUCCUGCAAAGGCAGUGCCUGCCACAAGCGGCGACAAUUUAUCAGCGAUGUUGCGUGACAUUUAAGGUCGCGUUUCAUUCACAGCGGGGACACUUCCAGCGAAGCCAACACGUGGUCACAGCACCGACACUCCGCAGGUGCGGCUUGCCAAGUGGAAACGUCCUCUGUCAUUUGCACGUGUGUGAGCGUACGUUUUGAAAAGUGUACAGGAGUGGUGGUGCGAUGGUUAGCGCGCUGCGCUGCGAACCGCACCAUCGGUGUUUGAUUCCUUACCAUGGCCGAUAUCAUUGGUGAAUUACGGUGUAAGUGAAAUAGUCCAGGGCAUUCCCUAAGCCAACUCAGACUCGAAUACGUCCCUGGUGCAGUGUGUAGCCAUUACUCUUGGGGAGAGAAAACUAGCCCAGCCAUAGCGCUGGCCACACCACCACUUUGUGCACCAUUAUUGCCUGAAGAGGUGCUCACUAACACCAAUUGCUCUGAGAGAAAAGUAAAGUAGGCUACACGGUGCAACUUUGUGUGUGAGCAAGCACGCACGUGUACGCACAGUGUGGUAGACGCAGAGCACAUUCGGAGGGAGAAAAGAGUCGGUAGAGAAUUAAUUAAUUGCAGGUGUACAAUUCAUGUGAAACGUGUCAAAAGCGGCAGAUGACAUACAACGGCCGUCUAAACAUCGUGCCUGUGUGUGAGUAUAAUUUAUACAGGGAGCGGUAGUGCAGUGGUUAGCGCACUGCAGUGCACUGCGCUACGAACCCAGCAACCCGAAUUCAAUUCCUGCUCGUGGCCAACAUCAGUGGCGAAUAUUUAAACCCGGUCCUGGGCCACUACCCCUAGGUUGAUGCGUAAAAAUCGACACUGAGGAGUAGAAAGUGGCCCAGCAUGGUGUUGGCCACACCACCCCCCUCGCGUGACGUUUCCGGCCUGCACAGGCGCUCACAAACGGCACUCGCCACAACAGUCUGUUAAAGGCUACACGGGGGAUCUUUGUAGGAUACAUGAGCCACGCAACUGCUGCAGGAAGAGGCCUAAUAAUUUCGAUUUAAAGCUUUCGUGACUGCAGGGAUUCAUCUUCUUGGUUCUUUCGAUAAAGUCACGU
Molecule: long non-coding RNA, 2432 nt
Organism: Lethenteron reissneri (Far Eastern brook lamprey)
Lineage: Eukaryota; Metazoa; Chordata; Hyperoartia; Petromyzontiformes; Petromyzontidae
Source: RefSeq, a predicted model, not a curated record